AACGAACGCUGGCGGCAUGCCUAACACAUGCAAGUCGAACGAGACCUUCGGGUCUAGUGGCGCACGGGUGCGUAACGCGUGGGAGCCUGCCCUUAGGUUCGGAAUAACUCCCCGAAAGGGGUGCUAAUACCGGAUAAUGUCUUCGGACCAAAGAUUUAUCGCCUUUGGAUGGGCCCGCGUUGGAUUAGCUAGUUGGUAGGUUAAAAGCCUACCAAGGCGACGAUCCAUAGCUGGUCUGAGAGGAUGAUCAGCCACACUGGGACUGAGACACGGCCCAGACUCCUACGGGAGGAAGCAGUGGGGAAUAUUGGACAAUGGGCGAAAGCCUGAUCCAGCAAUGCCGCGUGAGUGAUGAAGGCCUUAGGGUUGUAAAGCUCUUUUACCCGGGAUGAUAAUGACAGUACCGGGAGAAUAAGCUCCGGCUAACUCCGUG
This 433-nucleotide ribosomal RNA is filed under the name uncultured bacterium. RNAcentral describes it as "partial 16S ribosomal RNA". It matches the Rfam family "Bacterial small subunit ribosomal RNA", at positions 29 to 507 of the family's 1533-position model. The record is from RNAcentral.